CUGUUGCCUCGGCGGGAUCUCUGCCCCGGGUGCGUCGCAGCCCCGGACCAAGGCGCCCGCCGGAGGACCAACCAAAACUCUUAUUGUAUACCCCCUCGCGGGUUUUUUACUAUCUGAGCCAUCUCGGCGCCCCUCGUGGGCGUUUCGAAAAUGAAUCAAAACUUUCAACAACGGAUCUCUUGGUUCUGGCAUCGAUGAAUAACGCAGCGAAAUGCGAUAAGUAAUGUGAAUUGCAGAAUUCAGUGAAUCAUCGAAUCUUUGAACGCACAUUGCGCCCGCCAGUAUUCUGGCGGGCAUGCCUGUCCGAGCGUCAUUUCAACCCUCGAACCCCUCCGGGGGGUCGGCGUUGGGGAUCGGCCCUUUACGGGGCCGGCCCCGAAAUACAGUGGCGGUCUCGCCGCAGCCUCUCCUGCGCAGUAGUUUGCACACUCGCAUCGGGAGCGCGGCGCGUCCACAGCCGUUAAACACCCCAAACUUCUGAAAUGUUGACCUCGGAUCAGGUAGGAAUACCCGCUGAACUUAAGCAUA
This 528-nucleotide ribosomal RNA is filed under the name Trichoderma virens. RNAcentral's name for it is "eukaryotic LSU rRNA". The stretch from base 160 to 313 matches the Rfam family "5.8S ribosomal RNA". The record is from RNAcentral. Lineage: Eukaryota; Fungi; Ascomycota; Sordariomycetes; Hypocreales; Hypocreaceae.